CGUUCCCGGGCCUUGUACACACUGCCCGUCACACCACGAGAGUUGGGUCUUCCAGAAGUCGUUCGAACUUAAUCGAGCGCCCAAGGAAGGACCGAUGAUUGGGGUG
RNAcentral lists this ribosomal RNA (106 nucleotides) under uncultured bacterium. Its description in RNAcentral is "partial 16S ribosomal RNA". It matches the Rfam family "Bacterial small subunit ribosomal RNA", at positions 1369 to 1482 of the family's 1533-position model. The record is from RNAcentral.